Molecule: ribosomal RNA, 253 nt
Filed under: uncultured bacterium
Lineage: Bacteria
Description: partial 16S ribosomal RNA
Rfam family: Bacterial small subunit ribosomal RNA
Source: RNAcentral
UACGGAGGGGGCGAGCGUUAUUCGGAAUUAUUGGGCGUAAAGGGCGCGUAGGCGGCUGUACAAGUCAAAGGUGAAAUCCCUCGGCUCAACUGAGGAACUGCCUUUGAAACUGUACGGCUUGAGGCCGGGAGGGGGUAGCGGAAUUCCCAGUGUAGCGGUGAAAUGCGUAGAUAUUGGGAGGAACACCGGUGGCGAAGGCGGCGACCUGGGUCGAGACUGACGCUGAGGCGCGAAAGCGUGGGGAGCAAACAGG